This is an RNA transcript of Cimex lectularius (bed bug), 2639 nucleotides long. It is a transcript of the gene named glutathione hydrolase proenzyme-like, with no coding region annotated. The record is from RefSeq and is a predicted model, not a curated record. NCBI's taxonomy places the organism in Eukaryota, Metazoa, Arthropoda, Insecta, Hemiptera, Cimicidae. The transcript has 9 exons.
AAGAGUUGAGAAAUUCUUAUAAAAAGAACUAGUGAAAAUGUCGCCAUUGAAAUCGGAAAGAUAAUUAAGAUCGAAAAUGGUUUUUGAGAAAUAACCGUGCACUCUAAACACCUCAAAUGGACUUACACGUACAGCUACGAAAGUUCCCCUGGUUUGACGGGUAUAAUUCCAGGAUUGGUUGUUAAUUUACUACUCGUGAGUCCGAAACGUUGGAAGAAACUGGAACAUCAAAAUUGUUUUUCCAAAAGCAAUGAAUUCACUCCACUCAACCCAGAAAAGACCAACGACAAUGUUUCAAAGUUAUAAUAGGUUGUUUCACCAUCCUGACUGCUGUCGUAUCAGUUGCUCUUAUGGUGCACAUCUACCAGGGAGAAAAUACAGGAAAUGUCAGUUUUUUUAAGUUUAACAAUUAUUUUAUUAACAAAAUCUCCAGUUUCGGACAGGCACGCUUGGUGGUUUGGUGGCUGACAACAAAGAAUGCGCCAAAGUGGGCAAAAAUCUUGAGAGAAGGUGGCAAUGCUGUGAAUGUAGCUGUUGGAGUUUCAUUCUGCAUGGGAGUUGUUCAUCCGCAUUUGACCGGGAUCGGAGGAGAAGCUCUGACGUAUCAAGAACACCAUCGAUGGGUGGCCCUCGGAGGAACUGAGUCGUAGAAGGAUCAUCCUCACCCAAUUAAGAAUAGGAUAUGCAAGGUUGACACACAGACAUUUACUUUUAGGCCAAAGCCCGCAUAUGUGUCUGGCAUGCAGAGAAAGGCUGCUUGAUGAGACCCACCUAAUUAAAAGUUGCAAUUCCUUGGCUCCAUAUAAAGAGUGCGUAGGAAUGCCACCCAAUAUGAGAAUUAUCCUUGAGCAUGGCUGCAAAUGGAUCUACUGGUCUGAUUCUUGGAGGAAAAGUUUUAUUUUAUUGUAUAUAGUGCUGACUGUUUUGGGUCCGAAGCGUGUGUUAAGAGGAAAUGCAUUUAUCAGUGCGAAUGUGUAGUGUGAGAGGGCCAUGCAGAUUUGAGCUUACACAAAUCAGUAAUGUAUUGAUUAAUAAAGAUGAAAUUCAUUAUAUUCAAAUUGUUAAUUUAUUUAUUAUAUUCAGUAACAAGACUAGAUCCCCCACAACAAUCCACAUUUUAAAUUAUUAAAAACAUCUGUAAAGUGUAAUGAGAACUAAAAAUUUAGACUACUAAAUAUAAUGGAUUUAAUUAGAAACUAUUUUCCUAAAGAGUUAAAAGCAUCUUUGUCAUUAAAUGUUUGAGAUUAUAAAAUUGUGUAAAUUGGCAUAAAAACAAAACAAUGAUACAUUUAAUUUUUUUAAAUUUUUAUUUAUGCAUCAACUAUUCUGUAGAGAUGUAUUUAAGAACACAAAGUCUUUCAGGUAAUAUAGAUUUUUUUUUCUUUUUGCCUUAGGAAUGGCCUUGUGCUCAUUUAUGACCACAAACUAGGAAAACUAAGAGAUUGUAUUAAUUUCAACAGGAAAGGCAGCACCAGUUCAGAAACCGUGGGGAUCCCAGGUUUCAUAAAUGGCCUGUCUUUUGCCCAUAGCAAGUUUGGAAGACUUCCCUGGAAAAAAAUUCUUUCAUAUUCUAUUGAACUUGCAAGAACAGGAUUUAUAGUUACAGAAAGCUUGAAGAGUUCAGUACAACAUUUGAAAACCGAAAAUAUCAAAACCAAACUUGGCCUGUGGCUUAAUUCUCUAAAAGUGGGAAAAGUAACCACAUCCAAGCCCCUUGCUGAAACUCUUGAGUUGUUGGCAGAACAAGGAGGAAACGUUUUUUACAGCGGAGCUUUUACAAAAAAUCUUGCCCAUGUUUUGUCGGAAGAUGAUAUGAAAAAUUACAAAGUUCUAAAUAACGUAUGCGCUAUGGAGGAAUGGAAUAAAUUCAAGUUAUUCACUACUGGCCAAGUUACAGGAGGCCCGCUGUUGCUGAAAGCUUUGAAAAAUAUGAACAAUGCUUCAAAUCCCUAUGCAUCAAUUAAAGCAAUAAAUGAAGCAUUGACAACUGCAGAAAAUUACACACAUGGAGUUGUAGUAACUUCUGUUGACAAGGAUGAUAAUUAUGUGUGUGGUAAGAUUAGGAUCAGUUUUGGGCUCGCAAAUAUUAACACCAGGAGGGUUCGUUCUCAACGAUGCUGCCAAAUACGGAACGGGGAAAAUGUUUACGAAUGAACUUGAUACACUUUCACAUUCACUUGUCACUGAAGCUCAAAUUUGUUCUUCAAUAUAUGUCACAGGUGCGAAUGAUUUUAGGGAUUUGCUACAAACACUUUUUGAUGUUGGAAGGAAAUCAGGAUUUGCAGACUGUUGUCGAGAGUCCGCGUAUGAGAAUGAUCGAUGAUACAAUAUUCAGAGUUGGAUCACGCUCCAUCAUUCCCGCCUAAAGAGAUAGAUCAACUUUCUAAGGCGGGAGUUAUGCUAGUCCCAGCAGCCAAACCCUAACCGAGCAUAAAUGUGAUCCACAAAUUUAGAGACGGUUAAACCCGUGUGCUGAUUCCAGGGGGCUUGGUCUAGGAGUAACCGUAUAAUUUACACAUUAUACAAAAUUGUUGUUAAAUUUACAUAAUCUUAAAAUGUAAAUAUGUAUAUAUUGUACUGGGAAUAAGUCAAAAGAAUGUUAUGCAUCAUUGUGCAAUAAAUAAUACUAAUUUUGGCUC